UUUUGUCGUUAGGAUUUGCCCCCUAUAUUGGGGGAGCCGGUUCGCCGGCUAUGGAAAUAAAUGGCCGUCGUAAUAAACCAUUCGGACCCGGGGGCAGCACCCGGCGCCUCCACCAAAGCGCGGAUUUCCCGACCAAAAGGCGGGCUUCGGCGGGGGCGAAACAGGAUCGACGAGGGCGUAAAGGGCUCGCUUUUUCCCGGUAUGGUUCCGCCGUUAUCGGGCUAUGCAAUAGUUGCAAACGACAACUAUGCUCCGGUUGCUCAGGCUGCGUAA
This 273-nucleotide transfer-messenger RNA is filed under the name Afipia broomeae. RNAcentral describes it as "Alphaproteobacteria transfer-messenger RNA". It matches the Rfam family "Alphaproteobacteria transfer-messenger RNA", at positions 5 to 270 of the family's 355-position model. Rfam says of the family: Bacterial tmRNA, also known as 10Sa RNA or SsrA, is named for its dual tRNA and mRNA-like properties. Its role is to liberate the mRNA from a stalled ribosome. Lineage: Bacteria; Pseudomonadati; Pseudomonadota; Alphaproteobacteria; Hyphomicrobiales; Nitrobacteraceae. The record is from RNAcentral.